UUACUAUUUUUAUGCAUUUUUUUGAUUAGUUUUUUUUCCUCUUUGUAUUUCUUCCUGUUAAUGGUGAAUAAACUGAAAGUUGAUUUUUUGAAAUUUUGAUAUUGCAGAUUUAAAAUGCUCGAUUUGCCUAGAGUUCAGGUGGCAAGGAAGCUUUGAUUUUGAUGCCCAGAGUUAGAAAGUCUAAUUAUACCUUUGUAGAGAUACUGCUCUUCGUUUCCUGUUGCAAUACUUACCAGAAUAUGCAAAUCCAAGGUUAUUCUUCUGUGCUCAACAGAGGUUGUGCUGCAGCGAAGUUUAGCCCUUUUAUGUUACGGGAUUUGCUUGCCUGAAGUGUAGUGAAUUUGGGCAAUCCCUGAUAAGUCACCAAAGACUGAUGCAAUGAACAUGCAAUCACUCUGCCAAACUGCCAGAGAAUAGUUAAUCAUGAUUGCUGAGGUUAGUUUCCACCAUGAAAUGUGAAUGGAAUGCCAAAAAGUUAAUGACUUUUGUUCUUUUUUAUAUAUUAUGGACCAAUCGCAAGAUUAAAAUUACAGUCAGUUUUCUUUGUUGUGGUUGCUUG
This is a non-coding RNA of Coffea arabica (coffee), 559 nucleotides long. The record is from RefSeq and is a predicted model, not a curated record. Lineage: Eukaryota; Viridiplantae; Streptophyta; Magnoliopsida; Gentianales; Rubiaceae.